Long non-coding RNA from Lepisosteus oculatus (spotted gar), 1590 nucleotides. Lineage: Eukaryota; Metazoa; Chordata; Actinopteri; Semionotiformes; Lepisosteidae. The record is from Ensembl.
CCCCGCCGCUCUGUGUCCGCCAGGUACUACGAGACGCCGAAGGAGCAAAGUUGCUUGCCCUGCCUCAGCUCCACUGGGGCAAUCCGCCGAGAGUGCCUGCCUCCCCCGACAGCGAGGCCGGAGGAGUGGAAAGGUGUCACCCCUUUUCUAGACAAGGCAUUUCCAGAGGGAAGUACUGGAAGUGGGGCGGUUCCGGACACGCCCCCCGUGGCUGUGAUUGGCGCAGCCUGCGCUGUCUCCGCCUUCUCCCUGGUCCUGCUGCUGUGGGGGCUGCUGCUCUCUGUGGAGCGAAUCAGCGAGUGCCACUCCAGAGCGCGCCAGCCCGCCGGCCCCCGUGCCCCCGACAAGGAGCGCAAGAGCCCUGGGACCCUGGACACUCCCUCUGGACCACCUGACUGUUCGUGUACCCCAGCCUCCCUGCGGAAACUCCUGCCGUUCGGACAGCACAGCCAGGAGGGAGAGCCGGAGCGGAGGCACCCAAGCUCUGGGGGUCCGCCCAGGUCCCGUUACACGCCGUGCUCUGAGAAAGUGCCCCCCCCUGCUUCAAUCGUCAUCAACGUCACCACCAACGUCAAGCCUCCCGGCCAGGGAGGGGGGGGAGACUGGGAGGGGCAGGACGGGCACCACCAGCAGACCCAGCUCUCCCUGGAGGAGAUGGAGCGCAAGACGGAGGAGAUCUGCAAAAUAGCGAAAGGUAGGAGCCUGGAAGAGCUGGACUACGACAGCGUACAGGAGCUGUCUCUGCUGGUGGACGCAGGAGGCCGUGGGGCCCUGAGGGGGCUGGGCCGGGCUCUGAGCGUCUCGCCAGAGGUUCUCGACAACUUGCACGGCUUCCAGGACCUCUUCCAGUACCUGCGCACAUCCACUUACACCCAGGUGCCCCAGCUGGCCUGCGCUGCGGCCUCCCUCCACAGGCCUGACCUUGUUGCUAGGAUACACCAGGCCCUGGUCUCCGUGGAGACCACCUCCUACGGGUAGGGUAGCCCUCAGGCCUUGUUCUGGGCCCAUCUCAGGCUGUGACACUUGCCAAACUGAACAAAGACUUUCAGAGGAGGGUAUCCUUCCCAGGACAAACGAGGGACAGACACAACUAAAUAUUCAGCAACUGUCUCAAAGUGGUUUUCUCACCUGUGGCUUCCUGUUGGGAAUAAACAAUUGCAGCAGAGGAGUGCCUGUGUAGGUUGUGGUGUACAUUAGGUGACACAGGUUGGCUUCUCACACAUUUUCCUACUGUAAAAAAAAAGUCAAGGUCCUUAAAAACCCUCCUCCUGAGACAAUGACAUUUCAGAGCAUGCAAUAGGUCAGUAGACGGAACGAUUAUUGUAAACAUGUCAUUUAUUGCAGCUCCGUGUUGUGGAAAAACUGCUGGCCCUUGUUUUCUGUAAGGUCGUGGGAGUAUCAGAGAUUUCAAAACUCCAACGUACACGAGAACGGGUUGGUGAACCUGUGGUUGCUGCCUGUAAUACCGCAAAUGAGUCAAGGAAAAAGCCCUUAGUCAUCAAAAUGGAACCUUCAGCCCAUUAAGAUAGGACAUUUGUCACUGCUGCCCUGCAAACGCACGCUGGUGACGGCCUGCCCUCUGCACUCCGG